GGCUAGUCCGAGUGCAGUGGUAUUUACAACUAAUUGAUCACAACCAGUUAUAGAUUUCUUUGUUCUUUCUCCACUCCCACUGCUUUCAUUUGACUAGCCUUUA
Unclassified non-coding RNA from Cavia aperea (Brazilian guinea pig), 103 nucleotides. It matches the Rfam family "Y RNA". Rfam says of the family: Y RNAs are components of the Ro ribonucleoprotein particle (Ro RNP), in association with Ro60 and La proteins. The Y RNAs and Ro60 and La proteins are well conserved, but the function of the Ro RNP is not known. In humans the RNA component can be one of four small RNAs -- hY1, hY3, hY4 and hY5. The record is from Ensembl. NCBI's taxonomy places the organism in Eukaryota, Metazoa, Chordata, Mammalia, Rodentia, Caviidae.